CCUGCUGCGUGGCCGGCAUGUAAGAGUCUAGCACAGACAGCUGUGUACAGUACAUAGUACUUGAGAAUGAUCAUCAACAAUUAUGGUCCUGGUUUAUGUAUUUACCACACUGAAAACAAAGGUUGUGGUGAGGUCAGGGGUAUGGGUCAGAAGCCCAGAAACCUGUUAGGUAGAGGGGAGGAAAACGUGGGGAAGGAGAAUAGGCAGAACUAUCAAGCUCGGCCUUGGAUAAAGGAUUAGGAAGAAAAUGCAGGAUCCCAGGUGCCGGGGCUAGUGCGGAAGCCAGGCAGGGGCUGGGAGGGGCAGGAACACCUUCAACAAAUGCCUACCGACCCCUGCUCAGCCCCACAGGACCAAAGGCCGCUGUAGGCGAUGAUCAUCCCCAAUCACGGCCCUCGACCGGAGCGCACUUCCCCGCAUCUGGAGCCAUCUGCAUCUGUCUCCUUUGCAGUCUGCCGGUAAUUGGGUCUGAAAUCACACGCGUCCCACUCAGCUACAUUUACAUUUCCUUCUUGCGCUGUUUUUAUAUCCAGAGCUGUUGAAACCACUCCUAGGAUGAAUUUCUAAACUUAGACCAUCUCAUCCUCAAACGGCAAGAAAGAAAGUGUGAUGUGUCUGUGAAUCUGCUGAAUGGGCCGAGGGGUGUUUUUAAAAGAUCAUAUUGCGGGGAAGAAGCAGGCACUGCAGAAACCUAUGGAUUGGGGUGCUAAAACCUACGAGCUUCCCAGGAAGCUGCCUUUUGGGAGCCCGAACUAUCCCAGAACUUUUUCCUAGUAGCAGAUCACAAUCACCGUCUCUUCUGUGAGCCCGCUUCAAGCCAGCAAUGAAAGGACACUUCUGCACGCCAGCAGUAAGAGUAGGAAACCCCACUCUCCCUACAACAUAAGGGCUACACAUUUGAGAUCCUCUCAGAGGACUUUUUAAAAAAAUAACAUCUUUCAUUUAUGCUUGAGCAGGGAGAAGAGUCAUUAAAAAGAAGAGAUUUUUAAAAUCCCUGUCCAAUGCUUUUGGCCAGCCAGCCGCUCAGGACAAAGGGCUGCCUGGUUUGGGGACCUAAUUAUCCGGAGGCCAAGGCGCGGCUGCGGGUGAUGGGGCUGCCGAUUCCGCCGCGAGCACAGUCCGCCUCAUUGUUGGUGAAUUUCCUGCUCUUGGCACUUUCUUUGGCAGCCUCAUGGCCAGCACCUGUGCACUCAGACCUGGGGCCUGGGACGUCUACACAGAUGUCACGGCGCUUUUGUUGAUUUCCUAUUAGUGGCACUUAAUAGGCAGGCGCUGGGGACAGCUUGGCUCGGCUCCGGGGAGGGGCCGCAAACAUCGCUCCCUUGGUGGGCGAAGGGUCAAAUGGUUUCUAAAGCUCGGCCAGAUAAUUGCUGGUGAUUAGCAAUUUUAAUUAGCAGGUGCGAGGGGUCGGGACCCCCUUCCCUGUAAUUGGACAGGUUGUUAACAUUCGUGGAGUUGUGACCAGGGAGUAUAUUUUACUAAUACUCUCCAGCUCUUUUAAAGUUAAUUAAAUUAAAGGAGCUAAAACCACCAGAGACGGCCUGAGAUCUGAUGAGCCAGAUAGGAAAAGUUUUCAGUAAAACUUGUCUCACUGGAAAAAAAAAGAAAAAAAAAAAAAAAACUUCAAACACAGCCAUGAAUCCCUUGUGAACGCCGCGUGGCCCCGUGCGUGUUCUUCUGUGGCUGCGGAAGGCUGGGGCCGUGAACGUGUUUUCUCUGCCGGGUGCCUCACGUUGGGACUCGGCCCGUCGGGGUCCGGCUCUUCUGUUCCGCGCACUGACUCUUAGGGGCUUUGUUCGGUCACAGCGAGCAGAAAACCAGCGUCUCCCCGGUGCAGCCUUGGAAGGGGCUGGACACCCGCUCAUGGCCACAGAGGGCAGCUUCCGGGCGACGCUCCAGCUCUGCCUCUCGGACUCCUCACGGACACAGGCGUGUGUUUGAAACGGAUCGAUGUCCCCCCGGUUCCUUUCACAGACACCAGAAAGCCCGCGAACACACCUCACAGGCUCCGAAGUCUCACUCUGAUCUUGGCUCACUGCAACCUCUGCCUCCUGAGUUCAACUGAUUCUCCUGCCUCAGCCUCACCAGUAGCUGGGAUUACAGAUGCCCAUCACCAUGCCCGGCUAAUUUUGUAUUUUUAAUAGAGACAGGGUUUUGCCAUGUUGGCCAGGCUGGUCUCGAACUCCUGACCUCAAGCGAUCCACCUGCCUCGGCCUCUGGGAUUACAGAUGUGAGCCAUCGCACCUGUGCGUGAAGGUUUUCUAACCUUCUAUCAGAUUUUCUAACCUCCCCAAGCCACAGGAUGAGAAAAGUGUGCGAUGCUCCCGCCUGAGGAAGCCAGCCCAG
RNAcentral lists this long non-coding RNA (2346 nucleotides) under Homo sapiens (human). Its description in RNAcentral is "HSALNT0207201". Lineage: Eukaryota; Metazoa; Chordata; Mammalia; Primates; Hominidae. The record is from RNAcentral.